This 809-nucleotide ribosomal RNA is filed under the name Latropiscis purpurissatus. Its description in RNAcentral is "partial 12S ribosomal RNA". It matches the Rfam family "Bacterial small subunit ribosomal RNA", at positions 8 to 1366 of the family's 1533-position model. Lineage: Eukaryota; Metazoa; Chordata; Actinopteri; Aulopiformes; Aulopidae. The record is from RNAcentral.
AAAGCUUGGUCUCUCUUUUAUAUCGGCUAAUACUAAACUUACACAUGCAAACCUCCACACCCCUGUGAGAAUGCCCUCAAUUUCCCGUUCGGAGACGAGGAGCAGGCAUCAGGCACACCCCAAUAGCCCAAAACGCCUUGCUUAGCCACACCCCCAAGGGAACUCAGCAGUGAUAAAUAUUAAGCCAUGAGUGAAAACUUGACUUAGUUAAAGUAUUUUAGGGCCGGUAAAACUCGUGCCAGCCACCGCGGUUAUACGAGCGACCCAAGUUGAUUUACACCGGCGUAAAGUGUGGUUAGGCCCCAAUUCUUAAUAAAGUCGAACAUCUCCCGAACUGUUAUACGCACACGGAGACAAGAAGCACAAUCACGAAAGUGACUUUAAUACUCUGAACCCACGACAGCCAUGACACAAACUGGGAUUAGAUACCCCACUAUGCCUGGCCGUAAACCUUGAUGGUAUCUUACAACCUCCAUCCGCCUGGGUACUACUAGCGCAAGCUUAAAACCCAAAGGACUUGGCGGUGCUUCAGACCCCCCUAGAGGAGCCUGUUCUAGAACCGAUGAUCCCCGUUCAACCUCACCAUUUCUUGUUUUCCCCGCCUAUAUACCGCCGUCGUCAGCUUACCCUUUGAAGGCCUCAUAGUAAGCAAAAUUAGUAAAACUCAAGACGUCAGGUCGAGGUGUAGCGUAUGAAAUGGGAAGAUAUGGGCUACAUUCUCUAUGGUAGAGUAAAACGAAACGAUGCAAUGAAAUGUACAUCCGAAGGUGGAUUUAGCAGUAAGUGGAAAAUAGCAUGUUCAUGAUGAA